GAAUAUUGCGCAAUGGGCGAGAGCCUGACGCAGCCAUGCCGCGUGUGUGAAGAAGGCCUUCGGGUUGUAAAGCACUUUCAGGGGGGAGGAAAGGCUCCGGACCAAUACUCCGGGGAGUUGACGCUACCCCCAGAAGAAGCACCCGCUAAUUCCGUGCCAGCCGCCGCGGUAAUACGGAAGGUGCGAGCGUUAAUCGGACUUACUGGGCGUAAAGCGCGCGUAGGCGGCUUGGUAAGUCGGGUGUGAAAGCCCCGGGCUCAACCUGGGAACUGCAUUCGAUACUGCCGGGCUGGAGUACGAAAGAGGGGGGUGGAAUUCCAGGUGUAGCGGUGAAAUGCGUAGAGAUCUGGAGGAACACCGGUGGCGAAGGCGGCCCCCUGGUUCGAUACUGACGCUGAGGUGCGAAAGCGUGGGGAGCAAACAGG
This 425-nucleotide ribosomal RNA is filed under the name uncultured bacterium. RNAcentral's name for it is "bacterial SSU rRNA". It matches the Rfam family "Bacterial small subunit ribosomal RNA", at positions 359 to 776 of the family's 1533-position model. The record is from RNAcentral.